Molecule: unclassified non-coding RNA, 328 nt
Filed under: Hevea brasiliensis (rubber tree)
Lineage: Eukaryota; Viridiplantae; Streptophyta; Magnoliopsida; Malpighiales; Euphorbiaceae
Source: RNAcentral
AAAAAAAGAACGAAAAUUCUUGAGUGAAAGAAUAAACAGUUACAGAUGCAUGCACAAAGAAAGCCCUAAGGGCAGGGAGAGAGGGUGGAUGGGUAGGGAAGAACCUGGAGGACAAGUCUCAUACUAAAUCAAGGAAAAGAUACCAACAAUGCACACAAGACAAGAAUUUACAGCCUUUCCUUUGACACCCCCUUCCCGCAGACAUCUAACUGCAAAUACAAAUCAUCAAAAUACAAUGAAAAAGUCCCCACUCAAGCUCUUUGCUGGACUAGAUAUCUUACAUCCAAAAAUUUUCAUGAUGUCAGCUUCAACCCCCACUAAGAAAAAA